CACAAGCGGUGGAGCAUGUGGUUUAAUUCGAAGCUACGCGAAGAACCUUACCAGGUCUUGACAUCUUCUGCUAACCUAAGAGAUUAGGCGUUCCCUUCGGGGACGGAAUGACAGGUGGUGCAUGGUUGUCGUCAGCUCGUGUCGUGAGAUGUUGGGUUAAGUCCCGCAACGAGCGCAACCCUUAUUAUUAGCUGCCAGCAUUAAGUUGGGCACUCUAGUGAGACUGCCGGUGACAAACCGGAGGAAGGUGGGGACGACGUCAAAUCAUCAUGCCCCUUAUGACCUGGGCUACACACGUGCUACAAUGGACGGUACAACGAGUUGCGAGACCGCGAGGUUUAGCUAAUCUCUUAAAACCGUUCUCAGUUCGGACUGCAGGCUGCAACUCGCCUGCACGAAGUUGGAAUCGCUAGUAAUCGCGGAUCAGCAUGCCGCGGUGAAUACGUUCCCGGGCCUUGUACACACCGCCCGUCACACCAUGAGAGUUUGUAACACCCAAAGCCGGUGGAGUAACCUUCGGGAGCUAGCCGUCUAAGGUGGGACAGAUGAUUGGGGUGAAGUCGUAACAAGGUA
RNAcentral lists this ribosomal RNA (573 nucleotides) under uncultured Pediococcus sp. RNAcentral's name for it is "bacterial SSU rRNA". It matches the Rfam family "Bacterial small subunit ribosomal RNA", at positions 924 to 1498 of the family's 1533-position model. Lineage: Bacteria; Bacillati; Bacillota; Bacilli; Lactobacillales; Lactobacillaceae. The record is from RNAcentral.